UACGGAGGGUGCAAGCGUUAUCCGGAUUCACUGGGUUUAAAGGGUGCGUAGGCGGGUAGGUAAGUCAGUGGUGAAAUCUUCGAGCUUAACUCGGAAACUGCCUUUGAUACUAUCUAUCUUGAAUAUUGUGGAGGUAAGCGGAAUAUGUCAUGUAGCGGUGAAAAUGCUUAGAUAUGACAUAGAACACCAAAUUUGCGAAGGCAGCUCACUAC
RNAcentral lists this ribosomal RNA (212 nucleotides) under uncultured bacterium. RNAcentral's name for it is "partial 16S ribosomal RNA". It matches the Rfam family "Bacterial small subunit ribosomal RNA", at positions 524 to 732 of the family's 1533-position model. The record is from RNAcentral.